GACCCAUGGUGAGGGCACCUUUUCAGUAAGUCCUUGUAUCUCUCUCAUGCAUCGUAGAGUGGUUCUAAAUCCAUAUGCACAAAAAAAGAGAUAUCAUUACAUAAUUU
RNAcentral lists this small nucleolar RNA (107 nucleotides) under Gossypium barbadense (sea-island cotton). RNAcentral describes it as "Plant small nucleolar RNA R71". It matches the Rfam family "Plant small nucleolar RNA R71". From Rfam's summary of the family: R71 is a member of the C/D box family of snoRNAs containing the C (UGAUGA) and D (CUGA) box motifs. Multiple nearly identical copies of this snoRNA have been identified in Arabidopsis, and it is thought to function as a 2'-O-ribose methylation guide for 18S ribosomal RNA. Lineage: Eukaryota; Viridiplantae; Streptophyta; Magnoliopsida; Malvales; Malvaceae. The record is from Rfam by way of RNAcentral. RNAcentral also lists the same sequence under 1 other name.